UCUUACUUCCCUCAGGCGCCAGUCCUUCUGGAAUGUCUAAGGUUGGCAUAGAGAAGCAGCAGCUGGUUUCUUCCAGAAGAGAGGCAGGACAUGUCCUCUUUUUCAGAUUGAGGAAUUGAAGUUCAAAAGGAUUAAGCAACUUGACCAAGAUCACACAGUUAUAAAUCAUGGAACUGAAUCAGAAAACCAAGACAAAGAAAUCUCCUCUAUCAAAUUAUAAGCAACAUCAAUGCUACCAAGAGAGCAGCA
This is a long non-coding RNA of Nannospalax galili (Upper Galilee mountains blind mole rat), 249 nucleotides long. RefSeq lists it as uncharacterized. The record is from RefSeq and is a predicted model, not a curated record. Lineage: Eukaryota; Metazoa; Chordata; Mammalia; Rodentia; Spalacidae. The transcript is spliced from 3 exons.